CACCGGUUGUAUGCCGUACGAGAGAUACUCGUAUUCAUCAUUUUCACGAGCGACGCACUUAAACGUGGUGCUGCUGCUGCUGGUGCUGCUGCUGUUGCGACGUUUUUCCUAUUUUUCUUUCUACUUAUUUUUUCUCAUUCUCUUUUAUCUCUCGCAAUCUUUAACUCUCGCUAUCAUCGUACUCUCCGAUAUCCUCCUACAUAAGAUAUUUUCUAAUUAUAUUUUAUCUCUUCGAGAUAUUAAAAAAAAAUGCGCCCACGCACGUUUAAUUAUUCAUAAAGAUAAUUUUCUAUUUUCUUUGUUUUGUUUUUUUCUUCUUCUUCUUCUUCUUUUCGUAAAUUGAUCUCUUUGAUCUCGAAAAAUACAAUAGAAAAAAAUAUUUAUUUGUGAGAGAAGAGAGAGGGAAAAAGUUUCAAUGGUAAAGUGGAAGGGGAAAAAAAGGAAAAAAUCAAAAUAUAAUUUAGGAAAGUACGGGUGCGGUGAGUUACGGUGCGAUACGGUGCGGUGCGGUGCGGUGCGGUGCGGUUCGGUGCGGUGCAGUGGCGGGCAAAGUAAACGGCGCCGUGCGUGCGGCGCUGUGCGUUGAUAGACAGCGCAGUUCAGUGCAGUCACAUUCAAAUUCUAUCGAAGAAGAAGAAGAAGAAGAAGAAGAAGAAGAAGAAGAACAAAAACAACGUUUUUUUAAUCUACGGUUAGGUGAUUCGAGUAUUCGAGAGAAGGGGUAUAUUUAGGGGAAUAAUACUGAUCUAAAAAAUCGAUCAAUACGGGUAAUCGGGAACCAAAGGAGUUGGACGGGUCGGGGAGUUCGAGUUCGAGUUCAAGUUCACGAUUGGACUUGGACGCGAGCUCGGUCAAGGAUUUAUCCACUAUUAACAUCGAUAAAACAACAACAACAACAACAACAGCAACAACAUUCGGUGAUAAUUCGGAGAGUAGA
Molecule: unclassified non-coding RNA, 937 nt
Filed under: Polistes fuscatus (common paper wasp)
Lineage: Eukaryota; Metazoa; Arthropoda; Insecta; Hymenoptera; Vespidae
Description: uncharacterized LOC122526759, transcript variant X3
Source: RNAcentral